RNAcentral lists this unclassified non-coding RNA (1712 nucleotides) under Hevea brasiliensis (rubber tree). Lineage: Eukaryota; Viridiplantae; Streptophyta; Magnoliopsida; Malpighiales; Euphorbiaceae. The record is from RNAcentral.
GUGGAACUCUUCGCCUCAACUUGUCCCAUUUCUUCCCCCCUUUCUAUUUCAUCCAUCUAUAAAACCUGGAAGACAGAUAUAUCUUCUUUUGAUCUCUUCAUUUCCAUUUGUCUUUCCUGCAAAAAAUCUCUCUCUGAAAGGCUGAAACUUUCCGCACCCAUCUCUAAAUCCUCUCUGCUCAACACAACUUUCCAAUCAGAAGCAUGGGAUUUGAUAAAGAGGCAAGCUCGUCCUCUCAUGUGCUUCAUGUACCAUCCUUUCCAAGAGAAGACACCCCACUUCUAGGCAAGAAAACCCCACUUUCCUCUACGUUCAAGACCUUUGCCAACGUCUUCAUAGCCAUAGUAGGAGCGGGUGUUCUUGGCCUCCCUUACACCUUCAAGAAAACAGGAUGGCUAAUGGGUUCUCUCAUGCUCUUCUCUAUUGCUUUCCUUACCUACUAUUGUAUGAUGCUCCUCGUCCACACUCGCCGCAAGCUCGAAUCUAUUCAAGGCUUCUCAAAGAUAGCUUCUUUUGGUGAUCUGGGCUAUACUGUUUGUGGUCCCGUUGGUCGUUUUGCUGUGGAUGCCAUGAUCGUCCUUGCACAAGCUGGGUUUUGUGUUAGCUAUCUCAUUUUCAUCGCAAACACUUUAGCCUAUGUUUUUAAUCGUCAAUCAAAUGAAAAAAUUCUGGGUUUUUUAAGUCCCAAGUCUUUGUAUAUAUGGGGUUGUUUUCCUUUCCAGUUGGGCUUGAAUUCGAUUCCAACACUGACCCAUUUGGCUCCUCUGAGUAUUUUUGCUGAUGUGGUUGAUCUUGGAGCUAUGGGUGUGGUGAUGGUGGAGGAUGUGGUUGCCUUCUUAAAAAAUAAGCCUGUUUUGGAGGCUUUUAGUGGGUUUUCUGUUUUCUUUUAUGGUUUGGGUGUGGCUGUCUAUGCCUUUGAAGGGAUUGGCAUGGUAUUGCCAUUAGAAUCUGAGGCAAAGGACAAGGACAAGUUUGGAAAAGUGUUGGGAUUAUGUAUGGCAUUCAUUUCUCUGUUGUAUGGAGGAUUUGGGGUUCUGGGUUACUUUGCCUUUGGUGAAGCAACCAAAGAUAUAAUCACCACUAACUUGGGGCCGGGGUUGGUGAGCAAUCUUGUUCAGUUUGGUCUGUGUGUGAACCUGUUCUUCACAUUUCCAUUGAUGAUGAACCCCGUUUAUGAGGUGGUGGAGAGGCGGUUUUGCGAUUCUAGGUACUGUUUGUGGCUGAGAUGGGUGGUGGUUUUUGCAGUAAGCAUGGUGGCUCUGUUAGUACCCAAUUUUGCAGAUUUCUUGUCUCUUGUGGGGAGCAGUGUGUGCUGUGCUCUUGGAUUUGUGCUGCCUGCUCUGUUUCACUUGAUGGUAUUCAAGGAAGAGUUUGGUUGGAGUGGUUUGGUUAUUGAUUCGACCAUUCUAGUUUUUGGGGUCGUCGUUGCAGUUACCGGAACCUGGUCUUCUUUAUUGGAGAUAUUCGGGUCUAGUUCUUCCUAAGUGACAAGAUUUUAAUCUUCCUUGUCCUUUCUUGUUUUGCCAUCUUGAGAGCCUUAUUCGUUGUUGAAAAACAUGGAAAAUUCUUAGCUGAGGAUAGGAUGAAGUCCUUAGCUGUUAACUGGACUUCAUUUCUCCCAAUCCAGUUAUCCUUUCUGUUAUCUGAGAAUAAGAUGUACUUUUCUCAGUCUUGAAUAAAAAUUUUUCUUCCGAUAUAAAAAAAAAAAAAAA